This 268-nucleotide ribosomal RNA is filed under the name uncultured soil bacterium. RNAcentral describes it as "partial 16S ribosomal RNA". It matches the Rfam family "Bacterial small subunit ribosomal RNA", at positions 822 to 1083 of the family's 1533-position model. The record is from RNAcentral.
AUAGGAGACCCGAUGUCUUCCCUCCUGGAGCAAAUGUAUUAAGUGUUCCGCCUGGGGAGUACAGUCGCAAGGCCGAAACUCAAAGGAAUUGACGGGGGCUCACACAAGCGGUGGAGCAUGUGGUUCAAUUCGAAGCAACGCGCAAAACCUUACCUGGGCUUGACAUGCACGGAUUAACUCUUGGAAACAGGAGUGACCCUCGAAAGGGUGGAACGUGCACAGGUGCUGCAUGGCUGUCGUCUCCUCAUAUCUUGAGAUGUCUGGUUAA